GACACAAACAGCUUCAAGUCACUGCAGCUAUUCCAACUUUAGCCAUAAAAUGCAGCAAACACUUUAUGUUGGCUCAAAGGUGUUGUACAUUUUGGGCCCAGGUAAGUGUUAUAUGCUUGUAAUGCUUAAACACAACUCCAAACUCUCACAUUUGUUUCCCAGUUCCCCUACUCCCCUGCACCUUGCACAACACAACACAACGCAAAGCCCGACCUUCUCCGUCCGUGCACUACUUUCAGAUACACAGCAAGCAGGUUUAUAUGAUUUAGAAGUGAUCGGAAAAGAAACCAAGUGAAAACAAGUCAAAAAGAGGUCAAAUUGAAGAAAACGAAAAAAAGUGGCUAAAUCUGCAAAAAUGGGCCAGAUCUGCAAUUCCGAAAAUCAGUGGCUAUUUUGUUCUAAUUUUGAUUGGGAAAAUUGUGGGACUAUAAAAGGAAGAUAAGAGAGAAAAUAUAGUUUUAUGUUUGGCCAUUUUACGAGCUUUGGAGCUGGGAUUUUUAUACCACACCUUUAGAGGAGAAGAUUGGAGCUCUUUAAUGAUAAAUUUCUUAACCCUUUCUUCAAUUCCUUGCUUUGUAUUGCAUAUUUAAUUGUGUUGUAUUUUAUUCCAUUACUUGAAACUUGUUUAUGGAAAUAUACAUUGUUAAAGUUUUGGAUCAAACUCUUAUUUUGCUUAUGUAUUGAAUGAUUUUUAUUUUUAAUGAAGUGAAUCUUUGUUUCUUUAA
Molecule: long non-coding RNA, 725 nt
Organism: Lycium barbarum (goji berry)
Lineage: Eukaryota; Viridiplantae; Streptophyta; Magnoliopsida; Solanales; Solanaceae
Exons: 2
Source: RefSeq, a predicted model, not a curated record